UACGUAGGAGGCAAACGUUAUUCGGAUUUACUGGGCGUAAAGGGAGCGUAGGCGGUUCCUUAAGUUGGAUGUGAAAUCUUCUGGCUCAACCAGAAGGUGCCAUUUGAUACUGAGGGACUUGAGAGCAGCAGAGGGAAAUGGAAUCUCCAGUGUAGCGGUGAAAUGCGUAGAUAUUGGAGAGAACACCAGUGGCAAAGGCGAUUUCCCAGGCUGCUUCUGACGCUGAGGUUCGAAAGCGUGGGGAGCGAAGCGGAUUAGAUACCCGCGUAGUCCACGCCCUAAACAGUGGACACUAGAUAUAGGAGGUAUCGACCCUUUCUGUGUCGAAGCUAACGCUUUAAGUGUCCCGCCUGGGGAGUACGGCCGCAAGGCUGAAACUCAAAGGAAUUGACGGGGGUCCGCACAAGCAGCGGAGCGUGUGGUUUAAUUCGAUGCUACACGAAGAACCUUACCAGGACUUGACAUGUCAGAAGUAGGAUUCCGAAAGGAAGACGACCUGUAUCCAGUCAGGAGCUGUCACAGGUGCUGCAUGGCUGUCGUCAGCUCGUGCCGUGAGGUGUUGGGUUAAGUCCCGCAACGAGCGCAACCCUUGUCCCAUGUUAAAUUCUCAUGGGAGACUGCCUUGUACAGCAAGGAGGAAGGAAAGGAUGACGUCAAGUCAGCACGGCCUUUAUGUCCUGGGCUACACACACGCUACAAUGGACGAUACAGAGGGUUGCCAAGGAGCGAUCCGGAGCUAAUCCCCGAAAAUCGUCCUCAGUUCGGAUUGCAGGCUGAAAUCGCCUGCAUGAAGUCGGAGUUGCUAGUAACCGCAGGUCAGCUAUACUGCGGUGAAUACGUUCUCGGGCCU
Molecule: ribosomal RNA, 850 nt
Filed under: uncultured bacterium
Lineage: Bacteria
Description: SSU rRNA
Rfam family: Bacterial small subunit ribosomal RNA
Source: RNAcentral